This 254-nucleotide ribosomal RNA is filed under the name uncultured bacterium. RNAcentral's name for it is "partial 16S ribosomal RNA". It matches the Rfam family "Bacterial small subunit ribosomal RNA", at positions 524 to 776 of the family's 1533-position model. The record is from RNAcentral.
UACGUAGGUGGCAAGCGUUGUCCGGAUUUACUGGGUGUAAAGGGCGCGUAGGCGGCCACCGCAAGUCGGUUGUGAAAUCUCUGGGCUUAACCCAGAAAGGUCAACCGAUACUGCGGGGCUAGAGUGCAGAAGGGGCAACUGGAAUUCUCGGUGUAGCGGUGAAAUGCGUAGAUAUCGAGAGGAACACCUGCGGCGAAGGCGGGUUGCUGGGCUGACACUGACGCUGAAGCGCGAAAGCUAGGGGAGCGAACGGG